GAUCGUGUAGCUUAUUGGUAGAGCGCAGGGCUCAUUGCCCUGAGAAACUGGUUCGAUUCCAGUCGAGAUCA
Molecule: non-coding RNA, 71 nt
Organism: Aphanomyces cochlioides
Lineage: Eukaryota; Oomycota; Saprolegniomycetes; Saprolegniales; Verrucalvaceae
Source: the annotation of a GenBank genome assembly